GCAGUCGAACGAACUUCCGUUAAUUGAUUAUGACGUACUUGUACUGAUUGAGAUUUUAACACGAAGUGAGUGGCGAACGGGUGAGUAACACGUGGGUAACCUGCCCAGAAGUAGGGGAUAACACCUGGAAACAGAUGCUAAUACCGUAUAACAGAGAAAACCGCAUGGUUUUCUUUUAAAAGAUGGCUCUGCUAUCACUUCUGGAUGGACCCGCGGCGUAUUAGCUAGUUGGUGAGGCAAAGGCUCACCAAGGCAGUGAUACGUAGCCGACCUGAGAGGGUAAUCGGCCACAUUGGGACUGAGACACGGCCCAGACUCCUACGGGAGGCAGCAGUAGGGAAUCUUCCACAAUGGACGCAAGUCUGAUGGAGCAACGCCGCGUGAGUGAAGAAGGGUUUCGGCUCGUAAAGCUCUGUUGUUAAAGAAGAACGUGGGUAAGAGUAACUGUUUACCCAGUGACGGUAUUUAACCAGAAAGCCACGGCUAACUACGUGCCAGCAGCCGCGGUAAUACGUAGGUGGCAAGCGUUAUCCGGAUUUAUUGGGCGUAAAGCGAGCGCAGGCGGUCUUUUAAGUCUAAUGUGAAAGCCUUCGGCUCAACCGAAGAAGUGCAUUGGAAACUGGGAGACUUGAGUGCAGAAGAGGACAGUGGAACUCCAUGUGUAGCGGUGAAAUGCGUAGAUAUAUGGAAGAACACCAGUGGCGAAGGCGGCUGUCUGGUCUGCAACUGACGCUGAGGCUCGAAAGCAUGGGUAGCGAACAGGAUUAGAUACCCUGGUAGUCCAUGCCGUAAACGAUGAUUACUAAGUGUUGGAGGGUUUCCGCCCUUCAGUGCUGCAGCUAACGCAUUAAGUAAUCCGCCUGGGGAGUACGACCGCAAGGUUGAAACUCAAAAGAAUUGACGGGGGCCCGCACAAGCGGUGGAGCAUGUGGUUUAAUUCGAAGCUACGCGAAGAACCUUACCAGGUCUUGACAUCUUCUGACAGUCUAAGAGAUUAGAGGUUCCCUUCGGGGACAGAAUGACAGGUGGUGCAUGGUUGUCGUCAGCUCGUGUCGUGAGAUGUUGGGUUAAGUCCCGCAACGAGCGCAACCCUUAUUACUAGUUGCCAGCAUUAAGUUGGGCACUCUAGUGAGACUGCCGGUGACAAACCGGAGGAAGGUGGGGACGACGUCAAAUCAUCAUGCCCCUUAUGACCUGGGCUACACACGUGCUACAAUGGAUGGUACAACGAGUCGCGAGACCGCGAGGUUAAGCUAAUCUCUUAAAACCAUUCUCAGUUCGGACUGUAGGCUGCAACUCGCCUACACGAAGUCGGAAUCGCUAGUAAUCGCGGAUCAGCAUGCCGCGGUGAAUACGUUCCCGGGCCUUGUACACACCGCCCGUCACACCAUGAGAGUUUGUAACACCCAAAGCCGGUGGGGUAAC
Molecule: ribosomal RNA, 1425 nt
Filed under: Pediococcus pentosaceus
Lineage: Bacteria; Bacillati; Bacillota; Bacilli; Lactobacillales; Lactobacillaceae
Description: bacterial SSU rRNA
Rfam family: Bacterial small subunit ribosomal RNA
Source: RNAcentral